AAAUUGAAGAGUUUGAUCAUGGCUCAGAUUGAACGCUGGCGGCAGGCCUAACACAUGCAAGUCGAGCGGUAGCACAGAGAGCUUGCUCUCGGGUGACGAGCGGCGGACGGGUGAGUAAUGUCUGGGAAACUGCCUGAUGGAGGGGGAUAACUACUGGAAACGGUAGCUAAUACCGCAUAACGUCGCAAGACCAAAGUGGGGGACCUUCGGGCCUCAUGCCAUAAGAUGUGCCCAGAUGGGAUUAGCUAGUAGGUGGGGUAA
RNAcentral lists this ribosomal RNA (261 nucleotides) under Klebsiella pneumoniae. RNAcentral's name for it is "partial 16S ribosomal RNA". It matches the Rfam family "Bacterial small subunit ribosomal RNA", at positions 1 to 260 of the family's 1533-position model. Lineage: Bacteria; Pseudomonadati; Pseudomonadota; Gammaproteobacteria; Enterobacterales; Enterobacteriaceae. The record is from RNAcentral.